ACAGCGUACGAGGAAAGUCCGGGCUCCAUAGAGUGAUGAUGCUGGAUAACGUCCAGUAAGGGUGACCUUAAGGAAAGUGCAACAGAAAAUAACCGCCAUUAAUUGGUAAGGGUGAAAAGGCAGGGUAAGAGCCUACCGCUAAUAUGGUGACAUAUUAGGCUGUGUAAACCCCAUCUGGAGCAACACCGAGAAAGAAGGUUAAGGCUACUCGCCAUCUUCUAAUUUGGUGGCAUGAUGCUUGCAGUAAUGUAAGUACUAGAUAAAUGACUAUCCUAGACAGAACCCGGCUUAUAGAUUUACU
This 301-nucleotide RNase P RNA is filed under the name chicken gut metagenome. RNAcentral describes it as "Bacterial RNase P class A". It matches the Rfam family "Bacterial RNase P class A", at positions 34 to 361 of the family's 367-position model. Rfam says of the family: Ribonuclease P (RNase P) is a ubiquitous endoribonuclease, found in archaea, bacteria and eukarya as well as chloroplasts and mitochondria. Its best characterised activity is the generation of mature 5'-ends of tRNAs by cleaving the 5'-leader elements of precursor-tRNAs. The record is from RNAcentral.